GGCAGUGUGGCUUAGUGGAAAGAGAGUGGGCCUGAGAGACAGAGGACCUGGGUUCUAAUCCCAGCUCUACCA
Molecule: non-coding RNA, 72 nt
Organism: Ornithorhynchus anatinus (platypus)
Lineage: Eukaryota; Metazoa; Chordata; Mammalia; Monotremata; Ornithorhynchidae
Source: Rfam